This 385-nucleotide ribosomal RNA is filed under the name uncultured bacterium. RNAcentral's name for it is "bacterial SSU rRNA". It matches the Rfam family "Bacterial small subunit ribosomal RNA", at positions 29 to 441 of the family's 1533-position model. The record is from RNAcentral.
AACGAACGCUGGCGGCAGGCCUAACACAUGCAAGUCGAACGCCGUAGCAAUACGGAGUGGCAGACGGGUGAGUAACACGUGGGAACGUACCUUUCGGUUCGGAAUAACUCAGGGAAACUUGAGCUAAUACCGGAUACGUGCGAGAGCAGAAAGAUUUAUCGCCGAAAGAUCGGCCCGCGUCCGAUUAGCUAGUUGGUGAGGUAAUGGCUCACCAAGGCGACGAUCGGUAGCUGGUCUGAGAGGAUGAUCAGCCACACUGGGACUGAGACACGGCCCAGACUCCUACGGGAGGCAGCAGUGGGGAAUAUUGGACAAUGGGCGCAAGCCUGAUCCAGCCAUGCCGCGUGAGUGAUGAAGGCCCUAGGGUUGUAAAGCUCUUUUGUCC